RNAcentral lists this ribosomal RNA (441 nucleotides) under uncultured bacterium. RNAcentral's name for it is "partial 16S ribosomal RNA". It matches the Rfam family "Bacterial small subunit ribosomal RNA", at positions 338 to 795 of the family's 1533-position model. The record is from RNAcentral.
CCUACGAGAGGCAGCAGUGGGGGAUAUUGCACAAUGGGGGAAACCCUGAUGCAGCGACGCCGCGUGGGCGAAGAAGUAUUUCGGUAUGUAAAGCCCUAUCAGCAGGGAAGAAGAACUGACGGUACCUGAGUAAGAAGCACCGGCUAAUACGUGCCAGCAACCCCGGUAAUACGUAUGGUUCAAGCGUUAUCCGGAGUUACUGGGUGGAAAGGGAGCGCAGGCGGCCUGGCAAGCCUUAUGUGAAAGGCCGCGGCCCAACCGAGGGACUGAAUUGGGAACCACCGGGCUGGAGUGCCGGAGAGGUAGGCGGAAUUGCUAGUGUAGCGGUGAAAUGCGUAGAUAUUAGGAGGAACACCAGUGGCGAAGGCGGCCUACUGGACGGUGACUGACGCUGAGGCUCGAAAGCGUGGGGAGCAAACAGGAUUAGAUACCCGGGUAGUC